This 403-nucleotide ribosomal RNA is filed under the name uncultured bacterium. Its description in RNAcentral is "bacterial SSU rRNA". It matches the Rfam family "Bacterial small subunit ribosomal RNA", at positions 355 to 774 of the family's 1533-position model. The record is from RNAcentral.
UGAGGAAUCUUCGACAAUGGGCGCAAGCCUGAUCGAGCGACGCCGCGUGGAGGAUGACGCAUCUCGGUGUGUAAACUCCUUUUCUGUGGGAAGAGUAGGGACGGUACCACAGGAAUAAGCAUCGGCUAACUACGUGCCAGCAGCCGCGGUAAUACGUAGGAUGCGAGCGUUGUCCGGAGUUACUGGGCGUAAAGCGUAUGCAGGCGGACCUGUGCGUCUAUGGUGAAAUCUCCCGGCUCAACUGGGAGGGUGCCGUAGAUACGAUGGGUCUUGAGGGCUGAAGAGGAAAGUAGAACUCCCGGUGGAACAGUGAAAUGUGUAGAGAUCGGGAAGAAUACCUGAGGGGAAGCCGGCUUUCUGGUCAGUGCCUGACGCUCAGAUACGAAAGCGUGGGGAGCAAACA